UCUACCUUUUGUUCAUGUUUUUACAGCAAUACUUUCUCUCACCAGCAAUGAUCCAACAGAACCCUGACAAAGCCAACAAGAACUGCAGUGAGACACAGAUACAGCUCUUUGGGGUAUGCUGCCCCCUCCCCUCUGGGUCCCAGGGGAACGACAUCCAUGUUGUCAUAAUCAGGUUGAAGAUGGCCAUCCAUAGCAGGCUUUUUUUCUUCUUUUUUUUCUUCUAUGGAACAGAAGGGGUAUGGUUUGCGCCUCAAGAAGAUGUUGGAUUGGAAUGUGUCAUGUGUGGAUCUUCGAAGCAGGGUGCCUAUCAAGGGUGUUAUCUCUGGGUUGACACUAGUGAAGGAGACGGAGGUGGCAAGGAUAAGGGCUGUCCAGCAUGU
Oncorhynchus tshawytscha (Chinook salmon) is the source of this 380-nucleotide long non-coding RNA. The record is from Ensembl. NCBI's taxonomy places the organism in Eukaryota, Metazoa, Chordata, Actinopteri, Salmoniformes, Salmonidae.